GAUGAACGCUGGCGGCGUGCCUAAUACAUGCAAGUCGAGCGAUCAGACGAGGAGCUUGCUCCUCUGAUGUUAGCGGCGGACGGGUGAGUAACACGUGGAUAACCUACCUAUAAGACUGGGAUAACUUCGGGAAACCGGAGCUAAUACCGGAUAACAUGUUGAACCGCAUGGUUCAACAGUGAAAGACGGUCUUGCUGUCACUUAUAGAUGGAUCCGCGCCGCAUUAGCUAGUUGGUAAGGUAACGGCUUACCAAGGCAACGAUGCGUAGCCGACCUGAGAGGGUGAUCGGCCACACUGGAACUGAGACACGGUCCAGACUCCUACGGGAGGCAGCAGUAGGGAAUCUUCCGCAAUGGGCGAAAGCCUGACGGAGCAACGCCGCGUGAGUGAAGAAGGUCUUCGGAUCGUAAAACUCUGUUAUUAGGGAAGAACAAAUGUGUAAGUAACUAUGCACGUCUUGACGGUACCUAAUCAGAAAGCCACGGCUAACUACGUG
This 497-nucleotide ribosomal RNA is filed under the name uncultured bacterium. RNAcentral's name for it is "partial 16S ribosomal RNA". It matches the Rfam family "Bacterial small subunit ribosomal RNA", at positions 28 to 507 of the family's 1533-position model. The record is from RNAcentral.